Molecule: ribosomal RNA, 492 nt
Filed under: uncultured bacterium
Lineage: Bacteria
Description: partial 16S ribosomal RNA
Rfam family: Bacterial small subunit ribosomal RNA
Source: RNAcentral
AUUGAACGCUGGCGGCAUGCUUUACACAUGCAGGUCGAACGGUAACAGGCCUUCGGGUGCUGACGAGUGGCGCACGGGUGAGUAAUGCAUCGGAACGUACCCAGAGGUGGGGGAUAACGCAGCGAAAGCUGUGCUAAUACCGCAUGUGAUCUGAGGAUGAAAGCGGGGGACCGAGCAGCAAUGUUUGGCCUCGCGCCUUUGGAGCGGCCGAUGUCGGAUUAGCUAGUUGGUGGGGUAAAGGCCUACCAAGGCGACGAUCCGUAGCUGGUCUGAGAGGACGACCAGCCACACUGGGACUGAGACACGGCCCAGACUCCUACGGGAGGCAGCAGUGGGGAAUUUUGGACAAUGGGCGCAAGCCUGAUCCAGCAAUGCCGCGUGCGGGAAGAAGGCCUUCGGGUUGUAAACCGCUUUUGGCAGGAACGAAACGGUGUCCGCUAAUACCGGGCGCUAAUGACGGUACCUGCAGAAUAAGCACCGGCUAACUACGUG